RNAcentral lists this unclassified non-coding RNA (349 nucleotides) under Hevea brasiliensis (rubber tree). The record is from RNAcentral. Lineage: Eukaryota; Viridiplantae; Streptophyta; Magnoliopsida; Malpighiales; Euphorbiaceae.
CCAUAAUAGAGGAAGGCAAUUUUCCUACCCUGUCAAUCCCUUCCUCAAACACCACUCCCAUGCCCAUAAAGAAAUGUGACUCAAUAUGGCAAUGAAAUAACCAGGCGCCUGGAUUAUCUGCCUUAAAUCUCAAAGCAGUCCAACCAUAAGGAUGAAGAGGCACAGUAUUCUUCAUGAUGGGAUCCACCAAAUUGAACUUGUUCUGGUCAUUAUUUAUGUCAAACUUACCCUUUCCAUAACCUAGAACCCAGAAGUCAUGCCCAUGGAGAUGCCAAGGAUGUGUCUCGCUAGUGUUAUUACUCAUGGAAUUUGCAUUUUGUAAAAUAAUAUCUACUGUUGCGUUGAAGUC